This 563-nucleotide ribosomal RNA is filed under the name Rhinoclemmys funerea. RNAcentral's name for it is "partial 16S ribosomal RNA". It matches the Rfam family "Bacterial large subunit ribosomal RNA", at positions 1818 to 2603 of the family's 2925-position model. Lineage: Eukaryota; Metazoa; Chordata; Testudines; Geoemydidae. The record is from RNAcentral.
GCCCCUAGCAACAUACAAGUAUUAGGGGUAAUGCCUGCCCAGUGACACCAUUUAAACGGCCGCGGUAUUCUAACCGUGCAAAGGUAGCGUAAUCACUUGUCCUUUAAAUAAGGACUAGAAUGAAUGGCCAAACGAGGUUCUACCUGUCUCUUGCAAACAAUCAGUGAAAUUGAUCUCCCUGUGCAAAAGCAGGAAUAACAUUAUAAGACGAGAAGACCCUGUGGAACUUUAAAUACAAAUCAAAUAAUACUAACACCCACCUACGGGUCAACAUUCAAUUUAACACCUGAUUUAUAUUUUUCGGUUGGGGCGACCUCGGAGCAAAACAAAACCUCCGAAAAAUGGAACUUCUCCAAACCUAGGCUUACAAUUCAAAGUGCCUGCGGCAAAACGAUCCAACAUAUUUGAUCAACGAACCAAGCUACCCCAGGGAUAACAGCGCAAUCCCAUCCUAGAGUCCAUAUCGACGAUGGGGUUUACGACCUCGAUGUUGGAUCAGGACAUCCUGACGGUGCAACCGCUAUCAAGGGUUCGUUUGUUCAACGAUUAACAGUCCUACGUGA